RNAcentral lists this ribosomal RNA (402 nucleotides) under uncultured bacterium. Its description in RNAcentral is "bacterial SSU rRNA". It matches the Rfam family "Bacterial small subunit ribosomal RNA", at positions 355 to 774 of the family's 1533-position model. The record is from RNAcentral.
UGGGGAAUCUUAGACAAUGGGCGAAAGCCUGAUCUAGCCAUGCCGCGUGAGUGAUGAAGGCCUUAGGGUCGUAAAGCUCUUUCGCCAGGGAUGAUAAUGACAGUACCUGGUAAAGAAACCCCGGCUAACUCCGUGCCAGCAGCCGCGGUAAUACGGAGGGGGUUAGCGUUGUUCGGAAUUACUGGGCGUAAAGCGCACGUAGGCGGAUCAGAAAGUUGGGGGUGAAAUCCCAGGGCUCAACCCUGGAACUGCCUUCAAAACUCCUGGUCUAGAGUUCGAGAGAGGUGAGUGGAAUUCCAAGUGUAGAGGUGAAAUUCGUAGAUAUUUGGAGGAACACCAGUGGCGAAGGCGGCUCACUGGCUCGAUACUGACGCUGAGGUGCGAAAGUGUGGGGAGCAAACA